CUAAAAGAAUAACUUGCAAAAUAACAAGCAUUGAAAC
Non-coding RNA from Methanococcus maripaludis C5, 37 nucleotides. NCBI's taxonomy places the organism in Archaea, Methanobacteriati, Methanobacteriota, Methanococci, Methanococcales, Methanococcaceae. The record is from Rfam.